AGUGAACGCUGGCGGUAGGCCUAACACAUGCAAGUCGAACGGCAGCACAGUAAGAGCUUGCUCUUACGGGUGGCGAGUGGCGGACGGGUGAGGAAUACAUCGGAAUUUACUUUUUCGUGGGGGAUAACGUAGGGAAACUUACGCUAAUACCGCAUACGACCUACGGGUGAAAGCAGGGGAUCUUCGGACCUUGCGCGAUUGAAUGAGCCGCUGUCGGAUUAGCUAGUUGGGGGGGUAAAGGCCCACCAAGGCGAGGAUCCGUAGCUGGUGUGAGAGGAUGAUCAGCGACACUGGAACUGAGACACGGUCCAGACUCCUACGGGAGGCAGCAGUGGGGAAUAGUGGACAAUGGGGGCAAGCCUGAUCCAGCCAUACCGCGUGGGUGAAGAAGGCCUUCGGGUUGUAAAGCCCUUUUGUUGGGAAAGAAAAGCAGCAGGUUAAUACCCCGCUGUUCUGACGGUACCGAAAGAAUAAGCACCGGCUAACUUCGUG
This 492-nucleotide ribosomal RNA is filed under the name uncultured bacterium. RNAcentral's name for it is "partial 16S ribosomal RNA". It matches the Rfam family "Bacterial small subunit ribosomal RNA", at positions 29 to 507 of the family's 1533-position model. The record is from RNAcentral.